RNAcentral lists this long non-coding RNA (1190 nucleotides) under Daphnia pulex (common water flea). RNAcentral describes it as "uncharacterized LOC124203918, transcript variant X2". The record is from RNAcentral. Lineage: Eukaryota; Metazoa; Arthropoda; Branchiopoda; Diplostraca; Daphniidae.
AGCACACACAUAUUACAUGGACAUUACAAGUCGUAACUUUCAGUCUUUCAAAAGUUCCUUCAAAACAAAUUAAAACGUUAAAAAACGGAGAUCGGGUAAUGAGUCUAAUUUUUUAAAGUAAUAGUUUCAGGUGAAGUUUUCACGUGUACCUGGCCAACUAGGUGCUCGUGAGUCGUGACAAUAGAAAUAAAAUUGCCUAAAAUCCAAUAAUCCAAGUUCGCAAGCUAUGUCUUCUGAAGCUAAACAAUUUCUGUUGCAAGAUUUUGUAAAUCUUCAAGAUAUUGAUGUCUUCGCCAGAUCCAAUUCUUUGAUGCUAUCUAUUUUGCGGCACAACAGCAAGAAAAUGCUGCCACUUAAGAUUUUGUGGUAAUCGCCACUUUGUUCUAAUUUAGGAGGGCAAUGUGAGAUUGAUAGGUUCGAGGUUAAUCCCUAUCAUCUGUUAUGGAAACCUACAAGAGAUUACUGGAAUUGAAGACUAAUAAUUUGCGAAGGUGUUCCCUUCUUUUCUGUGGCCCGUUUCCCUAACUAACCACUAACCAGGUCAAUCACUAUCACAAUCACUGAUAACCAGGAGGAUGAGGAGGGCUCUGGUCGAACGGGGACUUGGACGACGGAUUAUCUGAGAAAAACUUUUGGAGGGUCAUGAGUCUAUCCGGAAAUCCUGCUAUGACUAAUCGCUCCCUAGCAAAACUGGCCUCGUACUCUUCUUCACCGGCCAGGUGUUGUUUAUGUUCCUGUCAUUGCUGCCCGAUGUGGCACGUUGUUGCAGCCUAUGCUGGUGAAAGCUCUUAUUGCAUGAAGUUAAACUGGCUGUUCCUUGGUCCUGCUGUCGUGUUAAAUUGUAAUCGUGUCUAUACAGUUUACUGUUUUUGUGUUAAGAAAAAACAAAAACAGAAAUAUGGGGAUGUUUUAUGUCAAAAAAAUAAUAAACAUGUGUUUGGGAUUGGGAUAGGAAAGUAGAGGAUGUAGUAGGGAGGAGAUUUCAAGUAUGGAAAAAAUCAAUUAAUCUGUAACACAACAAACAUAUACCUACUAAUUAACCUCCAAACUCCACAAACUUGUAAUCUUCAAACCCCACAAACAUAUACCCAGCAUAUACCUACCAACUCUCAAACUUACACCCUCAACCCCAUAAACCAGUGUUAACUUAACAAAAUGAUGUAUGUAAUAAAUAAAAAAGAUACAUUUAA